RNAcentral lists this transfer RNA (73 nucleotides) under Neotoma lepida (desert woodrat). It matches the Rfam family "tRNA". From Rfam's summary of the family: Transfer RNA (tRNA) molecules are approximately 80 nucleotides in length. Their secondary structure includes four short double-helical elements and three loops (D, anti-codon, and T loops). The record is from Rfam by way of RNAcentral. Lineage: Eukaryota; Metazoa; Chordata; Mammalia; Rodentia; Cricetidae.
AGGGGUGGGGCUCAGUGGUCAAGAGCACUGGCUGCUCUUCCAGAAGACCCAGGUUCAAUUCCCAGCACCCCCA